CGGGAAUCAUUGGGCGUAAAGGGUGCGUAGGCGGCUUCUUAAGUUGUAGUGAAAUCGUAGGGCUCAACUCUAUCUAGCUACAAAAACUGGGAGGCUGGAGUGCGGAGAGGCUAGUGGAAUUCCUAGUGUAGCGGUAAAAUGCGUAGAUAUUAGGAGGAACACCGGGGCGAAGGCGACUAGCUGGGCCGUAACUGACGCUGAGGCACGAAAGCGUGGGGAGCAAAUGGAUUAGAUACCCUAGUAGUCCACGCCGUAAACGAUGAAUACUAAGUGUUGGAGAAAUUCGUGCUGCAGUUAACGCAAUAAGUAUUCCGCCUGGGGAGUAUGCACGCAAGUGUGAAACUCAAGGAAUUGACGGGGACCCGCACAAGCGGUGGAUUAUGUGGUUUAAUUCGAUGCAACGCGAGAACCUUACCAAGUCUUGACAUCCCUGGCAAAACUCUAGAGAUAGAGCGGAGGUUAUCCGGUGACAGGUGGUGCAUGGUUGUCGUCAGCUCGUGUCGUGAGAUGUUGGGUUAAGUCCCGAACGAGCGCAACCCUUGUCUUCAGUUACCAGCAUUCAGUUGGGGACUCUGGAGAGACUGCGGUGACAAACCGGAGGAAGGUGGGGAUGACGUCAAAUCAGCAUGCCCCUUAUGACUUGGGUACACACGUAAUACAAUGGCGCACACAAAGGGAAGCAAUACCGCGAGGUGGAGCAAAUCUAUAAAUUGCGUCUCAGUUCGGAUUAGAGUCUGCAACUCGACUCUAUGAAGUUGGAAUCGCAGUAAUCGUGGAUCAGCACGCCACGGUGAAUACGUUCUCGGGUCUUGCACACACCGCCCG
RNAcentral lists this ribosomal RNA (825 nucleotides) under uncultured bacterium. RNAcentral's name for it is "bacterial SSU rRNA". It matches the Rfam family "Bacterial small subunit ribosomal RNA", at positions 545 to 1396 of the family's 1533-position model. The record is from RNAcentral.